This 450-nucleotide ribosomal RNA is filed under the name uncultured bacterium. Its description in RNAcentral is "bacterial SSU rRNA". It matches the Rfam family "Bacterial small subunit ribosomal RNA", at positions 354 to 796 of the family's 1533-position model. The record is from RNAcentral.
GUGGGGAAUUUUGGACAAUGGGCGAAAGCCUGAUCCAGCCAUGCCGCGUGCAGGAUGAAGGCCUUCGGGUUGUAAACUGCUUUUGUACGGAACGAAACGGUCCGGGUUAAUACCCUGGGCUAAUGACGGUACCGUAAGAAUAAGCACCGGCUAACUACGUGCCAGCAGUCGCGGUAAUACGUAGGGUGCAAGCGUUAAUCGGAAUUACUGGGCGUAAAGCGCGCGUAGGUGGUUUUGUAAGUUGGAGGUGAAAUCCCCGGGCUCAACCUGGGAACUGCCUCCGAAACUGCAUGACUAGAGUACGGUAGAGGGUAGUGGAAUUUCCUGUGUAGCGGUGAAAUGCGUAGAUAUAGGAAGGAACACCAGUGGCGAAGGCGACUACCUGGACUGAUACUGACACUGAGGUGCGAAAGCGUGGGGAGCAAACAGGAUUAGAAACCCGAGUAGUCC